GGUGGGGAUAUGUGUGGAAAGGGUGAGUAAACGUGUGAGAUCUGCCCUGCUCUCUGGGACAAACCCUGGAAACGGCGUCUAAUACCGGAGAUAACUGUCCUCCUCACGGGGGAUUGUGUAAAGCUCCUUUCGUGCAGGAAGAGCCCGCGGCCUAUCACUUGUUGGUGAGGUAGUGGCUCAACAAGGCCACACACAGGUAACCCGCCUGAGAGGGCGACCGGCCACACUGGGACAGAGACACGGCCCACACACCUACCGGAGGCACCAGUGGGGAAUAUUGCACAAUGGGCGAAAGCCUGAUACAGCGACACCCCGUGAGGGAUGACGGCCUUCGGGUUGUAAACCUCUUUCAGCAGGGAAGAAGCGAGAGUGACGGUACCUGCAGAAGAAGCGCCCGCUAACUACGUGCCAGCAGCCGCGGUAAUACGUAGGGCGCAAGCGUUGUCCGGAAUUAUUGGGCGUAAAGAGCUCGUAAGCCGCUUGUCACGUCCGUUGUGAAAGCCCGGGGCUUAACCCCGGAUCUGCAGUCGAUACCGGCAGGAUAAAAUUCCGUAAGGGAAAUCGGAAUUUCUGGUGUAGCGGUGAAAUGCGCAGAUAUUAAGAAGAACACCGGUUGCGAAAGCGGAUCUCUGGGCCGAUACUGACCUUAAGAACCAAAACGUGGGGAGCCAACAGGAUUAUAUACCCUGGUAAUCCACUGCCUAAACCGUGGGCACUAAGUGUGGGCGACAUUUCACGUUGUCCGUGGCGCAACUAAACAAUUAGUGCCCCCCCGGGGAAUACCGCCCCAGGGUAAACUCAAAGGAAUUGAAGGGGGCCCCCACAAACGGGGGAACAGUGGCUUAAUUCACUCACCCGGAAAAACCUUACCAGGGUUGAAUACACCGAAAACGUCUGGAAAAGGCGCCCCUUGGGACCGUGUACACGUGUGCAUAGCUUUCUCACCUCUCGUGUGAGAUAUGUGGUAAAUCCCCAACAAGAGCACACCUUUCCCCUGUUUCCCCACGCCUUUGGGUGGUAGUGAUUAAAGAAGACCGCCUGAUCACUCGA
RNAcentral lists this ribosomal RNA (1050 nucleotides) under Streptomyces sp. Its description in RNAcentral is "bacterial SSU rRNA". It matches the Rfam family "Bacterial small subunit ribosomal RNA", at positions 84 to 1165 of the family's 1533-position model. The record is from RNAcentral. Lineage: Bacteria; Bacillati; Actinomycetota; Actinomycetes; Kitasatosporales; Streptomycetaceae.